RNAcentral lists this long non-coding RNA (499 nucleotides) under Setaria viridis. RNAcentral's name for it is "long non-coding RNA (SVIR_LNC003155)". The record is from RNAcentral. Lineage: Eukaryota; Viridiplantae; Streptophyta; Magnoliopsida; Poales; Poaceae.
CUUGAUUGAGCAAAGAUUGACUGGACAGCCAAAGAAGGUAGAGGGAGAAUAAUGGAGGACUCGUAAUGGAUAGAGAAUGGGGAAGUUAUGGAUGAGGUGGAGGUUGUAGUUCUACGAAAGAGAAAUGAUGAGGGAGUGGAAGCGGGUGGCCAAGUUCCAGUGUAUUGAUGUUUUGCAGAAAGGACCUUCCAACUAACAAAUGCAUCUAUCUAUUUGUGUACACCGGAUCGUCUUGUUUAUCUACUAUUUACCAGACUGGAAUUUCCUAGAUACUCCUUCCGUUCAUGUUUAUGGUUAUAAACUUCUAAUCAUUGGAGAGUACAUCUAAUUACAAAUCCAACCAUGUCAAAUUGUCAUGACAAAAAUAAAUAAUUAUUGUCUUAAUUGUUGGUCAAAGAUUGAAAACUUUGAAUCUUGAAAUGCGUGUGUGUCGAGCAUACACCCCAGGCCAUUACUGAGUAGAACUCUAUAAUAGUACCCGACUAGAACUCAAACUUGU